AUUGAGCGCUGGCGGCAUGCCUUACACAUGCAAGUCGAACGGCAGCACGGGAGCAAUCCUGGUGGCGAGUGGCGAACGGGUGAGUAAAGUAUCGGAACGUGCCCAGUCGUGGGGGAUAACGUAGCGAAAGUUACGCUAAUACCGCAUACGAUCUAUGGAUGAAAGCGGGGGAUCGCAAGACCUCGCGCGAUUGGAGCGGCCGAUACCAGAUUAGGUAGUUGGUGGGGUAAAGGCUCACCAAGCCGACGAUCUGUAGCUGGUCUGAGAGGACGACCAGCCACACUGGGACUGAGACAGGGCCCAGACUCCUACGGGAGGCAGCAGUGGGGAAUUUUGGACAAUGGGCGAAAGCCUGAUCCAGCCAUGCCGCGUGCAGGAUGAAGGCCUUCGGGUUGUAAACUGCUUUUGUACGGAACGAAAAGGUUUGGCCUAAUAAGCUGAGCUCAUGACGGUACCGUAAGAAUAAGCACCGGCUAACUACGUGCCAGCCGCCGCAGUAA
Molecule: ribosomal RNA, 500 nt
Filed under: uncultured bacterium
Lineage: Bacteria
Description: partial 16S ribosomal RNA
Rfam family: Bacterial small subunit ribosomal RNA
Source: RNAcentral